This 834-nucleotide long non-coding RNA is filed under the name Astyanax mexicanus (Mexican tetra). Its description in RNAcentral is "lncRNA (ENSAMXG00005023917.1)". The record is from RNAcentral. Lineage: Eukaryota; Metazoa; Chordata; Actinopteri; Characiformes; Acestrorhamphidae.
GCUAGUUAUUGGAUAAUAAGCUUUAACACUAAUAUCUGAUCUGACUGUACAGUUAAAGUGUUUGAAGUACAGUCAGUGGGAGUCUGUGUGUUAGUGCAUAUUUAGCCUGAGGAAUAAUGCAGCUUCUGUGAGUGUGAGACUCGUGCAGGACUCAGGCAUGCACUGGUAGGACUAGUGUACGGGGCUCGGGGGCUGGAGCUGACAGCAAGCUAAGACAUGAACAGGAUUCUGCACUUACAGAUCAGUCCGCUCCAUACUCCUCUGUUUUCUCCCUCCCUCCCUCCUCUCUCUCCUCAUCCUCGGGGUUUAGGAAUCUGUUCUGCUGGCUCCGGCCCAAAGGAGCCAGAUGUGGAGAGAAACGUGGCCAAAGAGAAAGAGAGAGAGAUAGAGGAUGAGUGGAAGACCAGAUACUGGAGUGAAGGAGGAGAGGGACGGAAAAAAAGUGAUAAAUGGAUCACACUUUACAGCAUGCUGAUCUUUCUUCCACCGUCUGCUCGGCAGCAGUGCGCUGGUAUGAAGGUGUUCUCCAGUAGAAGAAGCAGGACCGAGGCCUACUUAUAAUAUAAAAGUCUCGCCUUUCAACAAAGAGCCAAUCAGCUUGCUGGUAAAACUGCAAGAUGACAUGGGUCACUGUGGACGUUGUGGGGAAAGGCCCUAAAGGAAACACUUGUGGUUAUGGAUCAUCAUGUCAAUCAACUGUGGACCUUCAAAAGUGGCAAUGGGAAUCAGCAAAAAGUGCAACUCGCUGGCUAACAGCAGAACUGAGCUUUUAGGAUGAGCAGACAGACUUAUGUUUUGUUCUAUAUCUUUUAAGUAUAGUUCCACUUAGUUAAG